Long non-coding RNA from Orcinus orca (killer whale), 1889 nucleotides. RefSeq lists it as uncharacterized. The transcript is spliced from 2 exons. The record is from RefSeq and is a predicted model, not a curated record. NCBI's taxonomy places the organism in Eukaryota, Metazoa, Chordata, Mammalia, Artiodactyla, Delphinidae.
CACCCCCGCGGACCACACGCCCUUGUGUCCGCACAGUAAAAAACAGUGGUUAGAUGCCACAACGUAAGUGGCAAUGCCUUAACCGUAUGCGUGUUGUUAGACCCGAAGGUCUCUUCCAUCCUUGUCAAGGGGAGUGCUAACCUUCUCUCCUUUCAUACAACACGUUUUCACUCUUCGCGCGCUCCCUAUUUAAGAACCCGCCUGCGCACCGCCUUUUGCUUACGGCGACUUCGCGUUCGCACCUCACACACGCUGGUGAAAGCGAUCGCAUCCAACAGAUAGCCGAGAAUAAGUUCUUUUUAAGUCGCUAUAUUAUUUUAGCGCGAUGAAAAAACUUCUUUUUCGUGUUCUAAUAUAUUCAUAAAACAAGCCAAUCAGAGGCUGACAGGAACACCCGGAAGUCCAAGCGUCCCUCAGGAAAAUAGAUUCCCCCGGAAACAAAACAGGGUUGGCGCGCACUUCCUACAGCGACACGCCUCGCGGAAAUGGCUCGGAACUUUCUGCGGAAAUGGAAGUGGUUGGUAGCGAAUCAGAGGACGAGGAAGGAAGAGCCGCUCCACGGACAUCCGGACGCGGCCCUGCGCUUGGAACUGUGGGUGCGGCGGGAGCCGGGGCGUGGUCUGCGCAUGCUCCCAGCCUACGCCACUCGUCUUCCGCGCAUGCUCUGAGCCCGCUCCGCGCCAUUUUUGAGCCGACGGUUCGAACCCCGGGGCGGGACGGAGUCUGCGCGGAGCCGGCUUUUGCUCUUCCCGUCCGUCCUUUCCCUAGAGUUUUAGGAUUUAAAUCCGAUGCUUCGGGUGCUGGCCGUCCCCGCAGUGUAGACGGUGGGGCCAUGCGGCCCCGGCCGAGGCGGUGACGCGGUGCCUCCCCACGGCUGCGGGCGCGUGGUUCCCCGGCCGGACGCGCGUGUGCGCUGGGCUCCGUGCGACCGGGGGCGACCUUCCGAUGAACCGCGCGGGCUGAGAAAGGCGUGUGCAUGUGUGCAUAAGCAUAUGUGCAUACGUGUGCAGACACGCCUGCGUGUCCACAGCGUCCGUGCACGCCCAGGCGUCCCUGAGCGCGCCCGUCCACACCGUGUAUGCGCGCACAGACAGAAGGGCAGUGGACAGAAGGGGGGGGCGGUAGGUCCAGCCAAGGGACGCUGAGCCGGCUGGGGUGGACACGGCCUGCAGGAGGCUAGCAGUGUCCCCCAUCCAGUUCUCCUUUGAGAAGUUCCCAAUCAGCCGGUUAGUUACAGGCGACUUCAAGACGAUGACACAGACAGGGGAAGAACUUGCAGAAUAAGGUGGAGGCUGCCUGUGAGGGAAGGUGGCCAGAGGGUCUUCGCAGUGUUGAGAGGACCAGUCGGGAAGGGCCCACGAGGAGCAGCUCCCUCCCGGGACUGGCGCAGACGUGGGUUCCUGGGCUGCAUUUACUGAGGCUGCUUUUCCGGGCGCCUGCUGGUGCUUCCUGGUCAUCAUCAGACCCGAGUUCACCGGGAACGGAACUCACUAGACCAUCCCCAGGGGUGGUUCCUAAAGGCCCCCGCGUGGGAUCAGGGGCUACACCCAGGAAGUCCCAGAAAUAAGAGAAGGCGAGAUCACCCACCUGACCUGCCUGUUUUGCAGAAGCUGAGGGAGAGGAGGGCCUUGCUGAGCACCCCCUGCCCAUUGUUUCCUGGGUGGUUGGGGGGAGGACCCAGACCCAGAUGGUGGAAGUGUGGGGUCCCCUCCAGCCCUGGCGAAGCCCCAGGCCUGUGUGAGCCUUUUCCCUGCAAGUGUCCUGGUGAAGAUGCUAGAUUAAAUACCAACGCCUGGUUAGAUUGGAAUCUCAGGUAAACAGCACUGAAAGUGUGAGUAUGCCUCAAAUAUUUUAUGGGGCGGUGCUUAUACUAAAACGUAUUCACUAUU